UUGAAAUUCAGCCCGUAUACUUGUCUAUAC
Molecule: non-coding RNA, 30 nt
Filed under: Mus musculus (house mouse)
Lineage: Eukaryota; Metazoa; Chordata; Mammalia; Rodentia; Muridae
Source: RNAcentral